This 497-nucleotide ribosomal RNA is filed under the name uncultured bacterium. RNAcentral's name for it is "partial 16S ribosomal RNA". It matches the Rfam family "Bacterial small subunit ribosomal RNA", at positions 28 to 507 of the family's 1533-position model. The record is from RNAcentral.
GAUGAACGCUGGCGGCGUGCCUAAUACAUGCAAGUCGAGCGAACAGACGAGGAGCUUGCUCCUCUGACGUUAGCGGCGGACGGGUGAGUAACACGUGGAUAACCUACCUAUAAGACUGGGAUAACUUCGGGAAACCGGAGCUAAUACCGGAUAAUAUAUUGAACCGCAUGGUUCAAUAGUGAAAGACGGUUUUGCUGUCACUUAUAGAUGGAUCCGCGCCGCAUUAGCUAGUUGGUAAGGUAACGGCUUACCAAGGCGACGAUGCGUAGCCGACCUGAGAGGGUGAUCGCCCACACGGGAACUGAGACAGGGUCCAGACUCCUACGGGAGGCAGCAGUAGGGAAUCUUCCGCAAUGGGCGAAAGCCUGACGGAGCAACGCCGCGUGAGUGAUGAAGGUCUUCGGAUCGUAAAACUCUGUUAUUAGGGAAGAACAAAUGUGUAAGUAACUAUGCACGUCUUGACGGUACCUAAUCAGAAAGCCACGGCUAACUACGUG